This 16781-nucleotide long non-coding RNA is filed under the name Lathyrus oleraceus (garden pea). RNAcentral describes it as "Pisum sativum (pea) long non-coding RNA (PSAT_LNC030815)". Lineage: Eukaryota; Viridiplantae; Streptophyta; Magnoliopsida; Fabales; Fabaceae. The record is from RNAcentral.
AUAAAAAAUAUGAAUUGAGUACACCUUUAAAAUGGAUUAGAAUUAGAUGUCAAGGGAUGUGUGUCCAAGGAUUUUGUGAUGUUUGAUGAGAUUCUAUAGGAAUCAUCGGUGCAUUAUGAAGAAACAAAGGUUAGUGGAUACAAGCAAUGAUUGGAUUCAUAAACUUAUUUAGUUAAGCAAGGUUAUUGCCCUGUUAAUAUCUUAGGAGUUACAUAGAGUCAAUGGAAACAUAGGCUUUGAUUUUAGAUACUUGAGUGUGUAUGGAAAAAGAAAACAAAAGCGAUUUUUUUUGUUGAGCACAUUUACGAGGAAACAACUUAGAAACAUGGUUAAAAGGUAUUUAUUGUUAUAAUCAAGGUAUUAAGUUUAACAUAGGACUGCGGUUGAAUCAAAAAGAAAAUUUAACACAUAACUUUAAGAAUUAAGAACUUAAAAAUAACCAUCAAUGCAUCAUGCAUAUACAUUUUGUAAAUUUUUAUAUUUUUAAUGUAGAAAUGAAUACAUGGUACAUAUUAAUUUAGAUAUUAAUAUUUAUAUAUCGAUUUCUUCUAGUUAAGCCAUUAUAAUUAAUAACUGUGCAAUUAUAAUUAUCUUUUCUAUUUUAACUUAUGGUAAAAACCAUAAUUAAUGUAGAUUUAGUUUCUGAACAUACACUUUCGAAAAAAUAGAGCAAAAAUGGUGCAUAAAUAAACAAUAAAAAAGUACAAAUUUUGCAAAAAAUAACUUACAAACCGUGACUCAUUUGUAUCCUCAACAAUACAUUUAUAAUCAUCUAGGUCAAAUACUUUAUAAAUCCAAACCUUUUGAAAUCUCACUACAUUUAUUUAUUUUUAUAUAUGGAUUGCAAAAGGUUUUGGAUUUAUAAAAUAUGAUAACUUAGAAAAAGAAUGUGUUGGGUGUAAGCACAACAACUAUAUUUAUAUAAGAAAAUAAAGUUUGUUAUAUGUUGUGAAGUAUUUAAGGAAUAUUUGUAGGGUAUUUUGAAACAUUCAAGGAAGACUUUUUUGUGUUAAUGAAAAAUUUAAGGAAUUGUAGUUUUUGAUUUAUCUCGUAUAUAGUUUAUUGUUAUAACUUUUAAGUUAAAGGUAAAUACAUAUAUUGUAAGUUGUAAAUGCGCCUAAGGGGGGGGGGGGGGUGAAUUAGGUGGUUAAAAAUUCUUCGAACUUGUUUCCGUUUUUGGGUUAUUUUACGUUUAAGUGCGGAAAGAUAAAUUGCGGAAAGUAAAAAGACACCGGAAAUUAUAGUGGUUCCCUUCACAAUCCGAAGGUACAUCCACUCCCCGUUCCACACGAAAGAGAUUUCACUAUAGUUAGAGUUAUGGUACAGCCUAUUCACACACACGGUGAUGCCUACUAUCUAACCUAUAGGUAAACAAGUGUAUGAAGAACAAUCCUCUUCAACACCAACCCUUGUGUCCAACAGUCCUGGAUCACAAGUCAAACAGAAAUAAUUCCUAUGAAUGAUUUUAACAAAGUGUAGUAUUAUCAAUCUUCUCUUGAUUGAUCUUCUCCUUAGAUAAAUAAUUCACUCAAAAGAUAAUAUACAAGUGUUCAAAAAUAGAAUGAGAUGAAAGUUUUAUUAUGAACACUUUUGAAAAAUAUUGAAGGAAAAUAUGAGAGAGUGAUUAUUUGAAGUUUGUAUGAAAAUUCUUGGAGGUGAAAAUUCAUUUUGAAAAAUUAAGAAUUUAUAUUGCCAAAACACCUUUUCAAAGAGGUAUCAUUUUAUCCAUAAACAUUGAUGAAAAGAUAUAAUUUUUCAAAAACAUUUUCACUGUAAUGAACAAUGUUAACCGGUUAACCAAAUGGGUUAACCGAUUAACGCAUAUUAACGUUAACAGGGAAUUUUAAAAACUGGGCUGUUAACCGGUUAACCCAUAUGGUUAACCGGUUAACACUGUUGAAAUGCAGAAAAAUACUUUAAGAAAAUUGUGUCUUGCAUUUCAAUCUGUUAACAAAUGGUUAUGUUUAAAAAUGCAAAUGCAGAUCAUGAUUGUUGAACACUUGUAUACUAAUCUACGAGUGAGUUAGAUAUACCUAAGAAGUGAAUCAACAAUCUUGCAAACGGUUGACUUGAAAAUGAAGCUUGAUCAAAAGUUCCUCAUGCAUAUGUGGCUUGAUCACUUUGAUGCUUGAAUUAUCUUUGAAGCUCUUUUCUUUGAUCAAUCCAAGAUAAAUCUUCAAGACUUUAAAAAAUAUGAAAUCUUGUUCUUGCUUCAAUGUCUUGAUCCAUUUCCUUUUUGAGCAUGCAUAACAUCUUGAAUGAAUAAUGUUGUCUUCAUCAAAACCAUUUAGAGGCUUGCCUUCACAUAUAUUAAAUAUUAUCUACUUAAUAUAAAUUUAAGGUUGUCAUGAUGGUAACCCUAAACAAAAUCCUAGCUUCAUACUAAUGUGUCAUCUUCACGAAAUUCUCCUAAUUAAUUUUUUUGUUUGAACUCUCUCAAAAGAAAAAAUUAUUAUUAUCUUAAUAAUCAUUAUUCAAAAAAUAUUCCAAUUAAUAAACAUUAUUAAAAAAAUCAUCCAUUUCUAAAACAAUUUUAAAAACAAUUAAAUUUAUAUAAUUCUAGAAUUUAAAUUAAAUAAAUUUAAUAUGAAUUGAGUACACUUUAAAAUGGAUUAGAAUUAGAUGUCAAGGGAUGUGUGUCCAAGGAUUUUGUGAUGUUUGAUGAGAUUCUAUAGGAAUGAUCGGUGCAUGAUGAAGAAACAAAGGUUAGUGGAUACAAGCAAUGAUUGGAUUCAUAAACUUAUUUAGUUAAGCAAGGUUAUUGCACUGUUAAUAUAUUCGGAGUUACAUAGAGUAAAUGGAAACAUAGGCUUCAAUUUUAGAUGCUUGAGUGUGUAUGGAAAAAGAAAACAAAACCGAUUUUUUUUGUUGAGCACAUUUGCAAAGAAACAACUUAGAAACAUGGUUAUAAGGUAUUUAUUGUUAUAAUCAAGGUAUUAAGUUUAACAUAGGACUGCGGUUGAAUAAAAAAGAAAAUUUAACACACAACUUUAAGAAUUAAGAACUGAAAAAUAACCAUCAAUGCAUCAUGCAUAUACAUUUUGUAAAUUUUUAUAUUUUUAAUGUAGAAAUGAAUUCAUGGUACAUAUUAAUUUAGAUAUUAAUAUUUAUAUAUCGAUUUCUUCUAGUUAAGUCAUUAUAAUUAAUAACUGUGCAAUUAUAAUUAUCUUUUCUAUUUUAACUAUGUAAAACAAAUAGUUUGAUUCAAGUUCUUCUCUGAACAUACACUUUCGAAAAAAUAGAGCAAAAAUGGUGCAUAAAUAAACAAUAAAAAAGUACAAAUUUUGCAAAAAAUAACUUACAAACCAUGACUCAUUUGUAUCCUCAACAUUACAUUUAUAGUCAUCUAGGUCAAAUACUUUAUAGAUCCAAACCUUUUGAAAUCUCACUACAUUUAUUUAUUUUUAUAUAUGGAUUGCAAAAGGUUUUGGAUUUAUAAAAUAUGAUAACUUAGAAAAAGAAUGUGUUGGAUGUAAGCACAACAACUAUAUUUAUAUAAGAAAAUAAAGUUUGUUAUAUAUUAUGAAAUAUUUAAGGAAUAUUUGUAGGGUAUUUUGAAACAUUCAAGGAAGACUUUUUUAUGUUAAUUGAAAAAUUUAAGGAAUUCUAGUUUUUGAUUUAUCUCGUAUAUAGUUUAUUGUUAUAACUUUUAAGUUAAAGGUAAAUACAUAUAUUAAAUAUUAUCUACUUAAUAUAAAUUUAAGGUUGUAUUUUGUGUUAAUUGAAAAAUAUAAGGAAUUGUAGUUUUUGAUUUAUCUCGUAUAUAGUUUAUUGUUAUAACUUUUAAGUUAAAGGUAAAUACAUAUAUUAAAUAUUAUCUACUUAAUAUAAAUUUAAGGUUGUCAUGAUGGUAACCCUACACAAAACCCUAGCUUCAUACUAAUGUGUAAUCUUCACUAAAUUCUCCUAAUUAAUUUUUUUGUUUGAAAUCUCUCAAUAGAAAAAAUUAUUAUUAUCUUAAUAAUCAUUAUUGAAAAAAUAUUCCAAUUAAUAAACAAUAUUAAAAAAAUCAUCCAUUUCUAAAACAAUUUAAUUUAUAUAAUUCUAUUUGAAUAUUAACUUUUUGUCUAAUUUCGUUUUUUUUCUAAUUGUUUUUACUGUGAUGCUUUAGUUAGUUACACACCCAACUUUUCUUUUAGUUAAAUAGUUUUUUUGUUAGAAAUAUUAUUUCACGUUCCAAGAAUUGGUAGAAUAGAAAUCGAAAUUAACUUACAAUGUUAUAUAUUGAUGACUAAUCUGGGUGAUCUUUAAGAAAUUUUCCAAGCAUUUGUGUAGCAUUUCAAACAGGGGAAUUAUUCCAUAAUUGUUGAAGUUGAACCUACUGCAUAAAUUACUCAUAAGGACCGAAUUACGACAGGAGGAUCAUGGCUAAAUCCUUCAAAAUGGAUUAGAAUUAGAUGUCAAGGGAUGUGUGUCCAAGGAUUUUGUGAUGUUUGAUGAGAUUCUAUAGGAAUGAUCGGUGCAUGAUGAAGAAACAAAGGUUAGUGCAUACAAGCAAUGAUUUGAUUCAUAAACUUAUUUAGUUAAGCAAGGUUAUUGCACUGUUAAUAUCUUCGGAGUAGCAUAGAGUCAACGGAAACAUAGGCUUUGAUUUUAGAUACUUGAGUGUAUAUGGAAAAAGAAAACAAAAGCGAUUUUUUCUGUUGAGCACAUUUGCAAAGAAACAACUUAGAAACAUGGUUAUAAAGUUAGAAUGAUCGUGUGCAGUAUGAAGAAACAAAGGUUAGUGGAUACAAGCAAUGAUUGGAUUCAUAAACUUAUUUAGUUAAGCAAUAAGAACUUAAAAAUAACCAUCAAUNGUAUUUAUUGUUAUAAUCCAGGUAUUAAGUUUAACAUAGGACUGCGGUUGAAUCAAAAAGAAAUUUAACACAUAACUUUAAGAAUUAAGAACUUAAAAAUAACCAUCAAUGCAUCAUGCAUAUACAUUUUGUAAAUUUUUAUAUUUUAAUGUAGAAAUGAAUACAUGGUACAUAUUAAUUUAGAUAUUAAUAUUUAUAUAUCGAUUUCUUCUAGUUAAGCCAUUAUAAUUAAUAACUGUGCAAUUAUAAUUAUCUUUUCUAUUUUAACUUAUGGUAAAAACCAUAAUUAAUGUAGAUUUAGUUUCUGAACAUACACUUUCAAAAAAUAGAGCAAAAAUGGUGCAUAAUAAACAAUAAAAAAGUACAAAUUUUGCAAAAAAUAACUUACAAACCGUGACUCAUUUGUAUCAACAAUACAUUUAUAAUCAUCUAGUCAAAUACUUUAUAAUCCAAACCUUUUGAAAUCUCACUACAUUUAUUUAUUUUAUAUAUGGAUUGCAAAAGGUUUUGGAUUUAUAAAUAUGAUAACUUAGAAAAAGUGUGUGGGUGUAAGCACAACAACUAUAUUUAUAUAAGAAAAUAUAGUUGUUAUAUGUUGUGAAUAUUUAAGGAAUAUUUGUAGGGUAUUUUGAAACAUUCAAGGAAGACUUUUUGUGUUAAUUGAAAAAUUUAAGGAAUUGUAGUUUUUGAUUUAUCUCGUAUAUAGUUUAUUGUUAUAACUUUUAAGUUAAAGGUAAAUACAUAUAUUAUAUUCUACUUAAUAUAAAUUUAAGGUUGUCAUGAUGUAACCCUAAACAAAAUCCUAGCUUCAUACUAAUGUGUCAUCUUCACGAAAUUCUCCUAAUUAAUUUUUUUGUUUGAAAUCUCUCAAAAGAAAAAUUAUUAUUAUCUUAAUAAUCAUUAUUCAAAAAAUAUUCAAUUAAUAAACAGUAUUAAAAAAUCAUCCAUUUCUAAAACAAUUUUAAAAACUUAAUUUAUAUAAUUCUAGAAUUUAAAAUUAAUAAAAUUUUAAAAAAUAUGAAUUGAGUACACUUUAAAAUGGAUUAGAAUUAGAUGUCAAGGGAUGUGUGUCCAAGGAUUUUGUGAUGUUUGAUGGAUUCUAUGGAUCGUGUGCAUAUGAAGAAACAAAGGUUAGUGGAUACAAGCAAUGAUUGGAUUCAAAACUUAUUUAGUUAAGCAAGGUUAUUGCACUGUUAAUAUCUUCGGAGUUACAUAGAGUCAAUGGAAACAUAGGCUUUGAUUUUAGAUACUUGAGUGUGUAUGGAAAAAGAAAACAAAACGUUUUUGUUGGAGCACAUAUUGAGAGGGUAACCGACCACAUUGAUGCCGAAGCACACGACAUCGAGCUCCCAUUAUUAUGUAGGUUAUUGCACUGUUAAUAUCUUCGGAGUUACAUAGAGUCAAUGGAAACAUAGGCUUUGAUUUUAGAUGCUUGAGUGUGUAUGGAAAAAGAAAACAAAAGCGAUUUCUUUUGUUGAGCACAUUUGCAGGGGAACAACUUAGAAACAUGGUUAUAACGUAUUUAUUGUUAUAAUCAAGGUAUUAAGUUCAACAUAGGAUUGCGGUUGAAUCAAAAAGAAAAUUUAACACACAAUUUUAAGAAUUAAGAAAUUAAAAAUAACCAUGAAUGCAUGAUGCAUAUACAUUUUGUAAAUUUUUAUAUUUUUAAUGUAGAAAUGAAUACAUGGUACAUAUUAAUUUAGAUAUUAAUAUUUAUAUAUCGAUUUCUUCUAGUUAAGCCAUUUUAAUUAAUAACCGUGCAAUUAUAAUUAUCUUUUCUAUUUUAACUUAUGGUAAAAACCAUAAUUAAUGUAGAUUUAGUUUCUGAACAUACACUUUCGAAAAAAUAGAGCAAAAAUGGUGCAUAAAUAAACAAUAAAAAAGUACAAAUUUUGCAAAAAAUAACUUACAAACCGUGACUCAUUUGUAUCCUCAACAAUACAUUUAUAAUCAUCUAGGUGAAAUACUUUAUAAAUCCAAACCUUUUGAAAUCUCACUACAUUUAUUUAUUUUUAUAUAUGGAUUGCAAAAGGUUUUGGAUUUAUAAAAUAUGAUAACUUAGAAAAAGAAUGUGUUGGGUGUAAGCACAGCAACUAUAUUUAUAUAAGAAAAUAAAGUUUGUUAUAUGUUGUGAAGUAUUUAAGGAAUAUUUGUAGGGUAUUUUGAAACAUUCAAGGAAGACUUUUUUGUGUUAAUUGAAAAAUUUAAGGAAUUGUAGAUUUUGAUUUAUCUCGUAUAUAGUUUAUUGUUAUAACUUUUAAGUUAAAGGUAAAUACAUAUAUUAAAUAUUAUCUACUUAAUAUAAAUUUAAGGUUGUCAUGAUGGUAACCCUAAACAAAAUCCUAGCUUAUUAAAGGUAAAUACAUAUAUUAAAUAUUAUCUACUUAAUAUAAAUUUAAGGUUGUCAUGAUGGUAACCCUAAACAAAAUCCUAGCUUCAUACUAAUGUGUCAUCUUCACGAAAUUCUCCUAAUUAGUGUUUUUGUUUGAAAUCUCUCAAAAGAAAAAAAAAUUAUUAUCUUAAUAAUCAUUAUUCAAAAAAUAUUCCAAUUAAUAAACAGUAUUAAAAAAAUCAUCCAUUUCUAAAACAAUUUUAAAAACAAUUAAAUUUAUAUAAUUCUAUAAUUUAAAAUUAAUAAAAUUUUAAAAAAUAUGAAUUGAGUACACCUUUAAAAUGGAUUAGAAUUAGAUGUCAAGGGAUGUGUGUCCAAGGAUUUUGUGAUGUUUGAUGGGAUUCUAUAGGAAUGAUCGAUGCAUGAUGAAGAAACAAAGGUUAGUGGAUACAAGCAAUGAUUGGAUUCAUAAACUUAUUUAGUUAAGCAAGGUUAUUGCACUGUUAAUAUCUUCGGAGUUACAUAGAGUCAAUGGAAACAUAGGCUUAUUUUUUGUUUGAAAUCUCUCAAAAGAAAAAAUUAUUAUUAUCUUAAUAAUCAUUAUUCAAAAAAUAUUCCAUUUAAUAAACAGUAUUAAAAAAAUCAUCCAUUUCUAAAACAAUUUUAAAAACAAUUAAAUUUAUAUAAUUCUAGAAUUUAAAAUUAAUAAAAUUUUAAAAAAUAUGAAUUGAGUACACCUUUAAAAUGGAUUACAAUUAGAUGUCAAGGGAUGUGUGUCCAAGGAUUUUGUGAUGUUUGAUGGGAUUCUAUAGGAAUGAUCGGUGCAUGAUGAAGAAACAAAGGUUAGUGGAUACAAGCAAUGAUUGGAUUCAUAAACUUAUGUAGUUAAGCAAGGUUAUUGCACUGUUAAUAUCUUCGGAGUUACAUAGAGUCAAUGGAAACAUAGGCUUUGAUUUUAGAUACUUGAGUGUGUAUGGAAAAAGAAAACAAAAACGGUUUUUUUAUUGAGCACAUUUACAAGGAAACAACUUAGAAACAUGGUUAUAAGGUAUUUAUUGUUAUAAUCAAGGUAUUAAGUUUAACAUAGGACUGCGGUUGAAUCAAAAAAGAAAAAAUUUAAAACACAUAAACUUUAAGAAUUAAGAACUUUAAAAUUAAAACCUUCAAUGCAUCAUGCAUAUACAUUUUGUAAAUUUUUAUAUUUUUAAUGUAGAAAUGAAUACAUGGUACAUAUUAAUUUAGAUAUUAAUAUUUAUAUUUCGAUUUCUUCUAGUUAAGCCAUUAUAAUUAAUAACUGUGCAGUUAUAAUUAUCUUUUCUAUUUUAACUUAUGGUAAAAACCAUAAUUAAUGUAGAUUUAGUUUCUGAACAUACACUUUCGAAAAAAUAGAGCAAAAAUGGUGCAUAAAUAAACAAUAAAAAAGUACAAAUGUUGCAAAAAAUAACUUACAAACCGUGACUCAUUUGUAUCCUCAACAAUACAUUUAUAAUCAUCUAGGUCAAAUACUUUAUAAAUCCAAACCUUUUGAAAUCUCACUAUAUUUAUUCAUUUUUAUAUAUGGAUUGCAAAAGGUUUUGGAUUUAUAAAAUAUGAUAACUUAGAAAAAGAAUGUGUUAGGUUUAAGCACAACAACUAUAUUAGUAUAAGAAAAUAAAGUUUGUUAUAUGUUGUCAAAUAUUUAAUAUGGAUUGCAAAAGGUUUUGGAUUUAUAAAAUAUGAUAACUUAGAAAAAGAAUGUGUUGGGUGUAAGCACAACAACUAUAUUUAUAUAAGAAAAUAAAGUUUGUUAUAUGUUGUGAAAUAUUUAAUGAAUAUUUGUAGGGUAUUUUGAAACAUUCAAGGAAGACUUUUUUGUGUUAAUUGAAAAAUUUAAGGAAUUGUAGUUUUUGAUUUAUCUCGUAUAUAGUUUAUUGUUAUAACUUUUAAGUCAAAGGUAAACACAUAUAUUAAAUAUUAUCUACUUAAUAUAAAUUUAAGGUUGUCAUGAUGGUAACCAUAAACAAAAUCCUAGCUUCAUACUAAUGUGUCAUCUUCACGAAAUUCUCCUAAUUAAUUUUUUUGUUUGAAAUCUCUCAAAACAAAAAAUUAUUAUUAUCUCAAUAAUCAUUAUUCAAAAAAUAUUCCAAUUAAUAAACAGUAUUAAAAAAAUCAUCCAUUUCUAAAACAAUUUUAAAAACAAUUAAAUUUAUAUAAUUCUAGAAUUUAAAAUUAAUAAAAUUUNUUCAAGGAAGACUUUUUUGUGUUAAUUAAAAAAUUUAAGGAAUUGUAGUUUUUGAUUUAUCUCGUAUAUAGUUUAUUUUUAUAACUUUUAAGUUAAAGGUAAAUACAUAUAUUAAAUAUUAUCUACUAAAUAUAAAUUUAAGGUUGUCAUGAUGGUAACCCUAAACAAAAUCCUAGCUUCAUACUAAUGUGUCAUCUUCACGAAAUUCUCCUAAUUAAUUUUUUUGUUUGAAAUCUCUCAAAAGAAAAAAUUAUUAAUAUCUUAAUGAUCAUUAUUCAAAAAAUAUUCCAAUUAAUAAACAGUUUUAAAAAAAUCAUCCAUUUCUAAAACAAUUUUAAAAACAAUUAAAUUUAUAUAAUUCUAGAAUUUAAAAUUAAUAAAAUUUUAAAAAAUAUGAAUUGAGUACACCUUUAAAAUGGAUUAGAAUUAGAUUUCAAGGGAUGUGUGUCCAAGGAUUUUGUGAUGUUUGAUGGGAUUCUAUAGGAAUGAUCGGUGCAUGAUGAAGAAACAAAGGUUAGUGGAUACAAGCAAUGAUUGGAUUCAUAAACUUAUUUAGUUAAGCAAGGUUAUUGCACUGUUAAUAUCNCAAUUCAAUUUACCAUUAUAAUAAAUCUAGAAUAUAUAAAUAAUUUUUUAAAUUAAAGAAUUUUUAAUAAUUAAAUGAAUUUUGAUAAUGAAUGAAGAUAAUAAUUUCUCUUGAGGGAGCAAACAAAAAAAUAAUAGAGAAUGUCGUGAAGAGAACAUUCAUAUGAAUCAGGAUUGUAGUACCAUCAUGACAACUCUUAAAUAAUAAGUAAAAAAUUUAAUAUAGAUUUACCUUUAACUAAAAGUAAAACAAAACAAAUACGAAUAAACAAAAAACAAUCCUAAAUUUCAAUAACAAAAAAACUCCUUGAAAUUUCAAAAUUACCCACAAAAUAUUCAUAAAUAGUCAAAACAAAAAAUAAAAAACUUAUCUAAUAAAAUAGUGUGCUACACCCAAACAUCUCUAAUUAUAUAUUAAAACCUCAAAACCUUUCAACCAAAAAAUAAAUAAAUGCAGAAACUCAAAGGGAUUCAAAAUAUUUGACCUAAAUAAAAUGUAGGAGGAAUACAAAGAUAAUGGGGAAUAUUUUCAAAAUACCUUAUAGUUAAUACACCAUGCUUUUUUGAAUUAGUCAAAACAAAUCUACAUAAUAUUUACCAUAAUAAAUAAAAAGAAAUAACAGCACGUAUAAUUAUAAUGCUAACAGAAAAAGGAUAUAUAAAUAUAAUAUCAAAUAAUAGGACCAGUAUUCAUCACAAAAAAUAAACUACAAAAUAAUACAAUCAACGUUAUUUAGUUCUAAUCUAAAGUGAUGUUAAAUCUUUUGACAACCGCAAGUCCUAUUAAACGUAAACCUGAUAAACAAAAUACCUUAAACCUUCAAUGGGGUUUCGUGAUGUGCUCAACAAAAAAACGUCUUUGUUCUUUCCAACACACUCAAAUCAAAAUCAAGCAGUUCCACUUGACUCUAUGAACACGAAAUAUAACUGCAAAAUCUGCUAACAAAUACAGUACUUGAACCAAUCCCAUGCUUAUCCACUAACCUUUGUGUCUCCAUAUCACCGAAUCACAAAAAUCUCACAAACACACAAAAUCCUGGACACACAUCAUGACAUCAACCACUCAUUUAAAGUUACCAACAUAUUAUGUAUAUUUUAUGAAUUAAAUAAAUUAUAAAAUUGCUUUAAAUGUUAGAAAUGAUGAUUUAUACUUGUUAUAAUUGGAAUAGUCCACAUAAGAUUAAAGAAAAAAAUUCUUUGACAGAUUCAACACAAAAAAAAUAAAGAGAAUCUAAGAAAAUAGACAAGAUUGUUUAGGGUAGCCAUCAGACAACCUUAAAUUAUAUAGAGAUAAUAUUAAUAUAUAAUACCUUAACAAAAGUAUAACAAUAAACUACUAUAGAGAUAAAUACAAAAACUACUAAUCCUAAAUCUUUCAUAAACAAAAAAGCUCUCCUGAAUUUCAAAAUACCCCUACAAAUUACUUAAAUAUUCAUAACAAAACAAACUAUACAUAUAAAUAUAGUGCUACACCCAAACACACUCUUCUAAAUCAAUAUUAUAAUCCAAAACUUGCAAUCAUAAAAAAAUAAAAAAUGAGAUUCAAAGGUUGGAUCUAUAAAAUACCAGAUGAUAAAGAUAUGUUAGGAACAAAGAGUCAUUGAGUUUGAAUAUUCAUAACUGGUAUAUUUAUUUUAUACACCAUUUUGCUCAUUUUGAAAGUGAUUCAAAAACAAUCUACAUUAAUAGGUUGUUACAUAAGUAAAAAAAGAAAUAAAGCACAGUUAAACUAAUGCUUAACAAAGAACGAUAUAUACAAAAAUAUAUCAAUUAAUAUGUCCAGUACAUUUCACAUUAAAAAUAAAAUUAAAAUAUAUCACGAGCAUGAUGUACUUAAUUCUAAUUCUUAAAGUUGUGUUAAACAUUCUUUUGAUUCAACCGCAGUCCAUAAACUAAUCCCUGAUAUAACAAAUACCUAUAAACAUGUUCCAGUGUCUGAAAUGGCCAAAAAAACCCGUUUGUUUUCUUUCGCAUCACACUACAAGAUCAAAUCAAAGCCUAGUUUCCAUGAUACGCUAGACCCGAAAAUACAGCAAUAACCUUGCCUAACAAUAAAGUUUGAAUCAUCAGUGCUGAUCCAACUAACCGUUUCAUCAUCACCGAUCAUUCCUAGAACUCAUCAACAUCACAAAACCUGACACACAACCCUUUACACUAAUGCUACACAUUUUAAAGGGUACUAAUCAAUUAUUAAAUAUUAAUUAAAUCUAGAAUAAAAAUAAUGUAUUAAAAAAUGUUAAAGAGGAGAUUUAAUAAUCGUUAUACAUGGAAUAUUUGAAAAUGAAUUAUAAGAUAAUAAUAAGUCAUUGAGAAUUCAAACAAAAAAAUUAAUAGAGAUUCGAAGAUACACAUUAGUAUAACAGAUUGUUAGGUACCAUCAUACAACCUUAAAUUUAUAUUAAUAGAAAAUAAUAUAUGUAUUACCUUAACUAAAUAUAACCAAUAAACUAAUAUACAAAUAAAUCAAAACUACAAUUCCUUAAAUUUCAAUAACACAAAAAAGCUCUGAAUGUUCAAAAUACCCACAAAUACUAAAUACUCAAACAAUAACAAACUAACUUAUAAAAUAAGGGCACACCCAACACAUUUUUCAAAGUACAUAUGUAAAACCAAAACUUUUGCCAUCCAUAGAUAACAAAUAAAUAAAGUGUAGUAGAAAUUCAAAAGGUUUGAUCAUAAAUAUUGCCUAGAAUAAAAGUAUAGGGUGAGGAACAAAAUCAGUUGGAAGAUUUUUGCAAAAUAUACUCUAUAUUAGUAGCACGCAUUUUACCCUAUUGUGAAUGGUAUUCAACAAAUCACAUAAUUAAGGUUUACCAAGAAGUAAAAAUGAAAAGAUAAAAAUCACAGUUAUAAUUAAAUGCUAACUAAAAAACUAAGAUAAAAUAUUAAAUCAAAAAUACUGUAGCAUAUCAUUUACAUAAAAAAUAAAAUAACUAAAUUAAUCAGAUGCAUGAUGUUAAUUUAAUAAUUCGUACAAAUUUUAAAUUCUUUGAUCCACCGCAGUUCCAUAAAACCUUGAAUAAUAAAAUACCUAUAACCAUGCUAAGUGUCUUCGCAAAGUGCCAACAAAAAAAACGCUUUCUCUUCCAUACAACCAACACAAAAUCAAAGCCUAUAUUUCCAUGACUCUAAUAACCCGAAGAAUAACAGCGCGCAAAAACUCCAUCAUGCAUAUACAUUUUGUAAAUUUUUAUAUUUUUAAUGUAGAAAUGAAUACAUGGUACAUAUUAAUUUAGAUAUUAAUAUUUAUAUAUCGAUUUCUUCUAGUUAAGCCAUUAUAAUUAAUAACUUUGCAGUUAUAAUUAUCUUUUCUAUUUUAACUUAUGGUAAAAACCAUAAUUAAUGUAGAUUUAGUUUCUGGACAUACACUUUAAAAAAAAUAGAGCAAAAAUGGUGCAUAAAUAAACAAUAAAAAAGUACAAAUUUUGUAAAAAAUAACUUUCAAACCAUGACUCAUUUGUUUCCUCAACAAUACAUUUAUAAUCAUCUAGGUCAAACACUUUAUAAAUCCAAACCUUUUGAAAUCUCACUACAUUUAUUUAUUUAAAUAUAUGGAUUGCAAAAGGUUUUGGAUUUAUAAAAUAUGAUAACUUAGAAAAAGAAUGUGUUGGGUGUAAGCACAACAACUAUAUUUAUAUAAGAAAAUAAAGUUUGUUAUAAGUUGUGAAAUAUUUAUUAAAAUCUCACUACAUUUAUUUAUUUUUAUAUAUGGAUUGCAAAAGGUUUUGGAUUUAUAAAAUAUGAUAACUUAGAAAAAGAAUGUGUUGGGUGUAAGCACAACAACUAUAUUUAUAUAAGAAAAGAAAGUUUGUUAUAAGUUGUGAAAUAUUUAAGGAAUAUUUGUAGGGUAUUUGGAAACAUUCAAAGAAGACUUUUUUGUGUUAAUUGAAAAAUUUAAGGAAUUGUAGUUUUUGAUUUAUCUCGUAUAUAGUUUAUUGUUAUAACUUUUAAGUUAAAGGUAAAUACAUAGAUUACAUAUUAUCUACUUAAUAUAAAUUUAAGGUUGUCAUGAUGGUAACUCUAAACAAAAUCCUAGCUUCAUACUAAUGUGUCAUCUUUACGAACUUCUCCUAAUUAAUUUUUUUGUUUGAAAUGUCUCAAAAGAAAAAAUUAUUAUUAUCUUAAUAAUCAUUAUUCAAAAAAUAUUCCAAUUAAUAAACAAUAUUAAAAAAAUCAUCCAUUUCUAAAACAAUUUUAAAAACAAUUAAAUUUAUAUAAUUCUAGAAUUUAAAAUUAAUAAAAUUUUAAAAAAUAUGAAUUGAGUACACCUUNNNNNNNNNNNNNNNNNNNNNNNNNNNNNNNNNNNNNNNNNNNNNNNNNNNNNNNNNNNNNNNNNNNNNNNNNNNNNNNNNNNNNNNNNNNNNNNNNNNNNNNNNNNNNNNNNNNNNNNNNNNNNNNNNNNNNNNNNNNNNNNNNNNNNNNNNNNNNNNNNNNNNNNNNNNNNNNNNNNNNNNNNNNNNNNNNNNNNNNNNNNNNNNNNNNNNNNNNNNNNNNNNNNNNNNNNNNNNNNNNNNNNNNNNNNNNNNNNNNNNNNNNNNNNNNNNNNNNNNNNNNNNNNNNNNNNNNNNNNNNNNNNNNNNNNNNNNNNNNNNNNNNNNNNNNNNNNNNNNNNNNNNNNNNNNNNNNNNNNNNNNNNNNNNNNNNNNNNNNNNNNNNNNNNNNNNNNNNNNNNNNNNNNNNNNNNNNNNNNNNNNNNNNNNNNNNNNNNNNNNNNNNNNNNNNNNNNNNNNNNNNNNNNNNNNNNNNNNNNNNNNNNNNNNNNNNNNNNNNNNNNNNNNNNNNNNNNNNNNNNNNNNNNNNNNNNNNNNNNNNNNNNNNNNNNNNNNNNNNNNNNNNNNNNNNNNNNNNNNNNNNNNNNNNNNNNNNNNNNNNNNNNNNNNNNNNNNNNNNNNNNNNNNNNNNNNNNNNNNNNNNNNNNNNNNNNNNNNNNNNNNNNNNNNNNNNNNNNNNNNNNNNNNNNNNNAGAAACCCAGUGUUGCAUGGGAGAAGCAAGCACAUUGAGACCAAGUAUCAUUUUCUGAGACAUCAAGUUCAGAGGGGAGUGUUAGAAGUUGUACACUGCAGCACUCAGAAACAGUUGGCAGAUGUUCUGACGAAAGCUAUCAAGACUGAUCAAUUUCUCAGAUUAAGGGAUGGAAUUGGUGUUACAAGUUUUGAUGGAAUAUGAAUUAAGGGAUGGUAUUAGAAGUAAUUCAUAUUUAUUAGUUGUACUAUUUUCUUAGCCCCUAAGUUUGUUAGAGGGUAUUUUAGUAUUUUCUCCUAUUCUAGUAACCCUAGUUUUAACUUAUAAAUAGGGUGGCAAUCAUUGUAACUUUUAUCAUGUUUUGUAGCCGUCAUUCUCUUAAUAGAAUAUUUCCAUUCAUCAUUUAUUCUACCUUUGCACCAACAAAAACCAUAAUUAAUGUAGAUUUAGUUUCUGGACAUACACUUUCAAAAAAAUAGAGCAAAAAUGGUGCAUAAAUAAACAAUAAAAAAGUACAAAUUUUGCAAAAAAUAACUUAUAAACCAUGACUCAUUUGUAUCCUCAAGAAUACAUUUAUAAUCAUCUAGGUCAAACACUUUAUAAAUCCAAACCUUUUGAAAUCUCACUACAUUUAUUUAUUUUUAUAUAUGGAUUGCAAAAGGUUUUGGAUUUAUAAAGUAUGAUAACUUAGAAAAAGAAUUUGUUGGGUGUAAGCACAACAACUAUAUUUAUAUAAGAAAAUAAAGUUUGUUAUAUGUUGUGAAAUAUUUAAGGAAUAUUUGUAGGGUAUUUUGAAACAUUCAAGCAAGACUUUUUUUUGUUAAUUGAAAAAUUUAAGGAAUUGUAGUUUUUGAUUUAUCUCGUAUAUAGUUUAUUGUUAUAACUUUUAAGUUAAAGGUAAAUACAUAUAUUAAAUAUUAUCUACUUAAUAUAAAUUUAAGGUUGUCAUGAUGGUAACCCUAAACAAAAUCCUAGCUUCAUACUAAUGUGUCAUCUUCACGAAAUUCUCCUAAUUAAUUUUUUUGUUUGAAAUCUCUCAAAAGAAAAAAUUAUUAUUAUCUUAAUAAUCAUUAUUCAAAAAAUAUUCCAAUUAAUAAACAGUAUUAAAAAAAUCAUCCAUUUCUAAAACAAUUUUAAAAACAAUUAAAUUUAUAUAAUUCUAGAAUUUAAAAUUAAUAAAAUUUUAAAAAAUAUGAAUUGAGUACACCUUUAAAAUGGAUUAGAAUUAGAUGUCAAGGGAUGUGUGUCCAAGGAUUUUGUGAUGUUUGAUGGGAUUCUAUAGGAAUGAUCGGUGCAUGAUGAAGAAACAAAGGUUAGUGGAUACAAGCAAUGAUUGGAUUCAUAAACUUAUUUAGUUAAGCAAGGUUAUUGCACUGUUAAUAUCUUCGGAGUUACAUAGAGUCAAUGGAAACAUAGGCUUUGAUUUUAGAUACUUGAGUGUGUAUGGAAAAAGAAAACAAAAACGGUUUUUUUGUUGAGCACAUUUACAAGGAAACAACUUAGAAACAUGGUUAUAAGGUAUUUAUUGUUAUAAUCAAGGUAUUAAGUUUAACAUAGGACUGCGGUUGAAUCAAAAAGAAAAUUUAACACAUAACUUUAAGAAUUAAGAACUUAAAAAUAACCAUCAAUGCAUCAUGCAUAUACAUUUUGUAAAUUUUUAUAUUUUUAAUGUAGAAAUGAAUACAUGGUACAUAUUAAUUUAGAUAUUAAUAUUUAUAUAUCGAUUUCUUCUAGUUAAGCCAUUAUAAUUAAUAACUGUGCAAUUAUAAUUAUCUUUUCUAUUUUAACUUAUGGUAAAAACCAUAAUUAAUGUAGAUUUAGUUUCUGAACAUACACUUUCGAAAAAAUAGAGCAAAAAUGGUGCAUAAAUAAACAAUAAAA